CCCCCGCCGCCCCCCCAACCUUUCCCUCGCGAACGAGACCCAGCCUGGGAGUCCCAGGCUCGUCUCCGCCGCUUUAAGCCGUGCGACCGUUGCUUUAAGCUUCGGUGACGCUGAGAAUAGCGAACCCUGCUUCGCGGGCUGGGCGUCAGGUUUAGGGAUGUUAGGGUGCAGAGUGCACAGCGGCGUGCCUGGCACACAGAGGAUGCACCCACUGCAGGGCACGUUUCCAAUACCAAAGCCAUAGCAGAGGCUCGAGUGCUCCAGCGGUUGCCAGAUGCCUGGCCCUGUGCCAGCGCUUUGCGUUCAUUAUCUCGUGGCACGCAUGCGGGCAAGGAAAUGCUUAAGUGACUCGGGGCCAGCGAGUGGUGAAGCCGGGGCGCAAAUCUGCACCCCACACUCAGGAUCCCGCGUCUCCUGUCUCCCGACUCCCCUUUCCUUCCCACCCCUCGGAGGUCAUCUCCUCCAGCCAGCCUUCGGCUAACCCCAUGAGUGAGCCCCCCUUCUCCGGAGCUGGAAGGAACUCCUGCUCCCCAGCCCCACCCCUGGCCAAUUUCAUAUCAAGAAGCAAGACCGACCUGUGAGAUUUUCCCCUAACCCCUCACGUAUAUUUGCUAUAUUUGCGAAGAAAAGAACGUCUCUUUUUGACAUUCUUCCCCUCUCUUUCCAGCUUCACUUUCUGCCCUAUCUUGCCCCCUCUUUACUCCAGUUGUCCUGGGGACCUCGCCUUUGCGGCUUUUGUUUCUCACAAGGAACUCAUAAGUACCCCCACCCUACUGGGGCCUUCCCUGUCUUGAGUGGCUCAGUCUUGUUCCCCUGUGAAGGAACUAAUACUCUUGAGAGGGGUGUCACCUUGAACCUUUAUUGGCUAACUCCUUGGGGGUGGGGGUUCCAACAGAGGUGACAAAUCUCCAGGGGUGCUGGUUCCCUCCCUGGAGCUGGCUCAUAGCAAUCCGAAGGAAUUAUUUCUAAGGAUGGAAUUUCAGGCCGGAAGACAUGGUGAAAGACAGUUUAGGGGGCUGGGUGGGCUUUUCCAGCACCCCACAGAGAACACUGUAAUGGACUUAACUUAUUCUGAUUAUUUGUAAAGCCAGCCUUGUCCACCCAUCUAAUUUAAGUCCCAUUUCCUCUGCCCGGUGAUGCUUCCCAGGAGCAUCAACAGAAUUAUCCCUCACUUUCCUCUGCUAAGCACCUCGGAGAGUUAUCUUCCCAAAUCAGUAGUGUAACAGGAAGGCUGUAUUUGAAGAAACUGAUACUCAAAGAGGUUGUUACUUCAGAGUCACAUCGUUGAUAAGUAAUGGAGCCACAUUUUAAAUCUGAGUUUGACUCUACAACUUGCUGUCCACCUCUUUCAUAGCUGGUUGUCUUUUCCUAGAUAGGAAGGUGGGUGGGAUCCCUUCCUCUGUGCCCUGACCUUCUGGUGGGAGACAGAAGGACUGUGAGGACAGUUUUAGCAGUUUGGUGAAACUGCAGCGAGAUAUCUGUUUAUAGAGGUUCUUUGGGAACACACGUGACUUUUAUUUAUACUUCAUAUCCCCCUUUUUUAGUUGUUUUUCAUCGUCACAGACUAGUUUCCAUUUCUAAUUUCUUUUUCUUGGUUCUAUGAUUAACUUUUUUUUUUUUUAAGACAGAAAUGUUUUUCAGAAUCUAAUGAAAACUCCUCAGAAAGUUAUACAUACCAAAAAAUUUUGCAUAGUCUAGGUUGCCUUUUUAAUAUAUAUAUAUGUAAAUAUAAAUACAUAUGUGCGUGUGUGUGUGUGUAAACACAGGUACAAAAGCCAUUACUAGAAUUUAUUAAAUAGAUUUGAUUGAGUGCUUGCCAUGUGUCAAACACAGCCUAAGUGCUUUACAAACAUUAUCUAAUUGCAAUCCUCUUAACGGCUCCACAAGGAAGACAUUAUCCACCAUUUCACAGCAAGAAAACCGGGGCUCAGAGUAGGAAAAUCACACAUGUGUGUGAUUCAGAGCUAGGUUUCAAACCUGGGCUCUGUGAUUUCUCCAAACCAUUUUCCCUAUCCUAGAGCUACCUCCAAAAUGUGUACCCAAACAGGAGCACCUGGGUGGCUCAGUCGGGUUAAGUGUCCCACUUCAGCUAAGGUCAUGAUCUCAUGGCUGUGAGUUCAAGCCACACGUCGGGCUCUGUGCUGACAGCUCAGAGCCUAGAGCCUGCUUUGCAUUCUGCAUCUCCCUCUCUCUCUGCCCCUCCUCCACUUGCUCUCUCUCUCUCCAAAAAUAAACAUUAAAAAAAAUUUUAAAUGUGUACCUGAACAGAGGACCUUGUCAAACACCAGUGCUUCACUAAAGGUGAGGGAGAACAAAGAAAGCCCAGAAGAACCUAGCUUCAAUACAGACCUCUUGAAUAAGACAUCCCCAGAAGGCUGCUUCUGAAGGAAACAGUGGAAUAUAAAAGCCCAAACUCUAUCCUGUUAUGAUUUUGCUGACAAUUAGUCUCAGGAAUGUAAAUGGGACCAAACUCAGGGCAAGAUUACUUUUUCUUAAAGCCAGUGCGUUCACUUUGUAAUGAAAUAAUGCAGGUGGAUCACAAAUGUAUUAUUAUAAUUGAGAGACAUGUCAACAGAAUAUAUCCCUUUGGGAGAAUGCCUGAACAUCAGCAGAAUCAAGGGACUUAUUUGUUUAUUUCAGUUGUUACAGCUGAUCAGAUUGGGGAGAACUUUGUAACUUCUUUAAUAAUUAAGCCAAGUUAAACCAUCAAUGGUCAUAAAUUAACUCAAACCAGUGACCAAGUCUACUAAAGCUGGCGUGUGUGUGUAGAUACAUGUAUAUAUAUUGGGUUGCCAUGAUAAUACAUUGUGAAGUGUGGAAAGAGAAAAGGUAGAAAUUAUAGUCAAUAGCAAAAAGGAAGUAUGUGUCAAUUCUCCUUCCCCCAUUCUUUUUGAAUCGUUGUCUGUCUUCCGGGGCUAGUAAAGAAACUUAAACCCCAAGCAUUUGGCCUGCCAUUUCCGUAGAUUAGCCUUUGAAGAUGUGAGCGGCGCCACGUCCAAUGUGGAGCUUGAACUCAUGACCCUGGGAUCAAGAGUCUCACGCUCUACCCUACUGAGCCAGCCAGGCGCCCUCACCUUUUUAGAGAGGGUGAAGUGUAAUAGGCAAUUAGGAGGGGGGGGGGGCCCUAUUUAAGACUCAGAAGGCUCAAAUUUAAAAUUAUUCAUGACACUCAACCUCUUUUUCUUCCUGCUUUAUGGCUGGAAAUAGUCAAAUGAAGGAAAGCUACAGAAAAUCCCCAAGAUGCUUGGGAAAUAAAAUAUUUACACAUAUUUAAGUUCCUUACUGUUUUUUGAGUGAAGCAAAAGACUCCCUUUAUUUCAACUUGUACUGGAAAUCUUUCUUAAAAGGAACUGUCCAUUCCCUUUUUCUAAUAUCUCAUGGUAAAUACAGUUUAAGAUUUGUGAUUCAGAUCCCAUAAUGGUUCACCAGUAUUGGUUCUUUUUUGUUUUUGUUUUUGUUUUUUUUAUGUUUAUUUAUUUAUUUUGAGAGAGACAGGAAGAGAGGAUCCCAAGCAGGCUCUGCUCUGUAUGCACGCAGCCCAAAGCAGGGCUCCAUCCCACAGACCGUGAAAUCAUGACCUGAACCGAAGCGAAGAGUAGGACACUUAACUGACUGAGCCACACUGGCGCCCCAGUGUCGGUUCUUUUCAUCCAGUAUUUGUAGCCAUGGAUGGUUUAUAAUAAGGAAGAAAAAGUAGGAUCUCCAGUCAUGGCUCUUAACUUGAUAUCAUCUGGCCUGUAGCCACUCUGGCCCAGAGAAUAAUUUCUUCCCUAGAGGCUUCAGGAUUAGGGCAUUCGAAGAACUGUAAUUAAAAUAAUCAUUUGAAAGGCGGUUACAGUGUGUGCACUCCUUUGCUUUGAAAGCGUCCAACUAAAUACCAUUGUUUCUUUAACAUGAAUUUAUUGAGCCCCUAUUGUGUGCUAAGCUCUGCCCCUCUCCCACCCCACCUGGUGUAAUGUUUCUCUCUGUAGAGUGCUGCCUUCAUUUUUGUUUUUUCUUCCCUUUAUUUUUCUCCAUUUCUCUUCUUGUCCUUUUCUUCUGUUGUUUCCUUCCCUUCUUUGUCUUUCUUUGUAAAUUCCAGGCAUUUGAAAAACUCAGUCGUAGUAAAAUUUUGAUUAAUUGGUAUAUGUCAUCAUUAAUGAAAUAUGUCUUAUAUUGACAUUUGCAUAUUUCCCUGCCCUUUGGCCUGUUUGGCCUACCUUGAAUUUUUACUUCAUCAAGUCUUUUAAAGCCCUUGUUUCAAAACAAAGGAGAGAGAAACAGAGGAUCUGAAUGAAAACUGUAGCCUUACUUGAAAACCUGAAAGAUCAAAUAUAUUAUUUAACUCAUGACGUUCUCCUCAAACACAUAGCUGUAGGACUUGGACCAGGGACGGGCCAUAUAGCCUGUGGACCAGAUCUGGCUGAUUGCCUGUUUUUGAUUGCCAGGCUGAUUGCCUGGCUAUUGCCUGUGGGCCAUAGCCCACAAGCUAAGAAUAGUUUUUAUAUUUUUAAGUGGUUUUUUCAGGGGUGCCUGGGUGGCUCAGUCGGUUGAGCGUCAGUCGGUUGAGCGUCCGACUUCAGCUCAGGUCAUGAUCUCACAGCUUGUGAGUUCAAGCCCCGCGUCAGGCUCUGUGCUGACAGGUCAGAGCCUGGAGCCUGCUUCGGAUUCUGUGCCUCCCCCUCUCUCUGCCCCAACCCACUCGCAUUCUGUCUCUGUCUCUCUCAAAAAUAAAUGAACAUUAAAAAAAAAAUUUAUAAGUGGUCUUUUCAAAAAAGAAUAUUGGGGCACCCUGGUGGUGCAGUCAGUUGAGCAUCAGAUCUCGGCUCAGGUCAUGAUCUCACAGUUCUAGAGAUCGAGGCUGCACUAAUGGUACGGAGCCUGCUCGGGGAUUCUGUCUCUCCCUCUCUCUGCCGCUCCCCUGCCUGCGUGCGCGCGCUCUCUCUCUCUCUUAAAAUAAAUAAGCUGUUUUUUUUUUUGUUUAAAAAGGAGAAUAUUUUGUUAUCCAUGAAAAUUAUAUGAGAUUCAGAUUUCCAUAUCCAUGAGUUUCACUUGAGCACAGCCUGCCCACCCAUGGGCAUAUUGCCUGUGACUGCUUCUGUGGUGCACAGUAAUUGCAACAGACCUUAUGGCCUACAAAGCCUAACGUUUCUGGUCCUUUACAGAAAAGUGUGGCAAAUCCUGAUGUAGAAUCUCUGGUGGGGGAUAGUGGUGGCCAAAAAGAACACUUAUAUCCUGAAUAUUUAUGCUUUUAAGAAAAAUGAAAAAUUGCCCAGACCUUUCACUUCCACCAACUGUUGCCCCUUAAAAAAGUGCUGUUAAGACCAUGCUGUUAGUAUGUGUUUUUGAGGCCAAACGCCUAGCCCUCUUGUCUCUCCCCACCCAAACUGCACUGUUCUUGGCAUUUGACAACACAAAGUGAAGUGUUUCUCUUGCAUUCCGGGAAAGGGGAAGGAAAAGAUUGUCCUUGAAAUGCUGCUUUUCAGGCAUUGCAACAAUCCCUGGGCUGGUUCUUUUCUUUUUUGUGUAUAAUGAUACAAAUGACCCUGAGUUAGAUUUUCAGAUAUUGUGGAAGACUUUUCUGGCCUUUCCCCGAAGAGGACAUCUAAUCUUUUGAACUUUAGAAUAAAAUACCAAAGAUAAAUGGAAUUUAUUAUUAAUCCACACGAUCUCCAGCAAUGCCAAGUUCAGUAGAUCUUAAAGUGAAUCAGCUGAUACAGCAUCAUUAACAACAUGGAGUGCUCUGAAAUUAUGCCUGCGUCAUCCUCUUGAAAAGAUUAUUUUACUGCUUUUUUGGGAGCCAACCCAACAAAAAUUACUGUGCAACUUUUGUUUGUUUGUUUCGUGAUUUUGUUUGUUUCCUUCUGUCUCUUCCCAGAAAGUCUUUUGCUUUUAUUACUUUGGGAGUCCAGGAGGAGUUUUUCAUACCUACUUUACAAAUUUUUGUAAAUGUUAGAAAGAAGGUAUGUGAGGAACCUGCUUGUGGCCGACAUGUGAUAAACAUUCAACAAAUGGUUAUUAUUAUUAAUUAUAAAAUAUACCUCCAGAAUGAGAAAAAUUUAAGAAUUGUGUGAUUUUAUCUUUUCAACAAAAUUCGUUUACACAGGAAGGAUGCAUGGAAGUUUUGCUAAGCAUAUAUGCAUUGCAGCAAGUUUCUAUUUGAGAAAAUUGGAACCUAAUUGUUCAUUAGAUGGAACAAUGGAAUAUUAUUCGACCUUUAAUAAUAAAGAAUAUGUACUGACAUGAAAAGAUACUCACAAUUGGGGGGAAAGCAGGUUUAAAAUAAUUAUGUAUACCAUUAUUUUAUUUUAUUUUAUUUUUUAAAAAAAGCAGAUAGGAAAGGUUUAAAGGACAAAUAGCAAGGUAGAAAAUAAUCGCCAUCUAGAGAAAAUGAAGGUAUAGAUAAUUUUUCUUUUAAAAUAAGAGAAAAAAAUGAUGUUUUUAAAAAUUCAUGUUAGUACCCCGGAGAUAAGCCCCAUUUGAAUAUUCAGUUAAACAGUGUUGAUGUAUAAACUUAUAUCCAUUUUCAAAACCUUGCUUUGAUUAGUUAAAAUUUUAUUUUGGGGCACCUGGGUGGCUCAGUCAGUUGAGCAUCCAACUUCAGCUCAGGUCGUGAUCUCACCGUUGGGUUCAUGUGGGUUGUGGGUUCGAGCCCCACAUCGGGCUCGCCGUGGUUGGCACGGAGCCUGCUUCGGAUCCUCAGUCCCCCUUUCUCUUUGCCCCUCCCCCCUCUCAAAAAUAAAUAAAGAUUACAAAAAUUACUUUAAUGCAGUUUUCAGAAGAGUUUUGUAGUAAAAGAAAAGAUAAAAACUAUGGCCACGUAGUAUUUACAACCAAGUGUCAUGGGGUCACCAAUCUUUACGAGUAUUCCCACCCAGCCAAGUACCAACAAGUAUAUCAACCAAAAUAUCUCAGGAAUACUGACUGCUCAUCAUUUAUCUUUUACCUCCUACAGCUGGGAGGUAUUCAGUCUUCAAGCUAAUGAAUGAGGAACUUGAAGGAAAUGACUUUCAUGAAAUUUGGGGGAGUAACUGAGAAUUUCUAUUCCUCUUUGGCCCGUGAAGGGUAGAUGACUAAGAACUCGUUAGUACCUUGGUGAAGGAUAAGCCUCACCUCUCUGAGGAAUGUGACUAUGUACCUUUAUGAGCUAUAACCAGAUAAGGAAGAAUUUCAAGGGUUGAGAAAGAGAUAGUUCUAGAGGCACCAGAAUAAUCUGAAAUGGUGCCAUUUCCCCAGCGUAUAAAGAGAUUAUUUUUUAUUGAUUUUUCAAAGUUUAUUUAUUUUGAGUGAGAGUGAGCAGGGGAGGGGCAGAACGGGAGAGAGAGAAUCCCAAGCAGGCUCCUGCACUGCCAGCUUAGAGCCCCACACGGGGCUCGAACUCACAAACAGUGAGAUCAUGACGGGAGCUGGGAUCAAGAGUCAGGCACUUAGCCAACGGAGCCACCCAGGUGCCCCUACAUGGAUUACUUCUAGCUGAGCCUUUGAAAUGUGAAAGUCCAAGUCCAGUUUUCCAGAUACGCACUUCAUUUCUUACUGCUCUUGGUUUGUAAUCUCGUAUAUUCAUUUGAGGAUUUCAAGAAUAAUGUCACGACAGAAACAGAGUGCAUGCACACAUGUACAUACAAAAAGACUGGGCGAGAAUAAGAAUAAACAUCCCAUCCUUCCAAAAGUUUCUAGUCUUAUAUAUUCAGGAUGCAGAGGUUUGUACUUUGCCUGGAGAUAGGAGGUUUGGGGCAGUAUUUUAGAAAGCACCAAAUGCUGUCAGAGAAGUAUUUGGCCAGUGUGUUCCUUAUUUGCAAUCCAUUUCACUUUGGAAACCUAGACCUGAGCCUGGCAGAGAGCCUUCAGACCAUUUUGCUAUAAAUAGGCACAGCUGGAAUUAAGAGGUCUUCCUCUGUAGGGACAUCAGAUUUCAUUCUCAGAACUCCUACCAUGCUUUCCAAGUUUGCAUACUCUCUUGAGAAAGUGCUCCAGACACAAAAAUGUCUUUGAUGAGGAUUUUUUUUUAUUACUUAAAAAAAAUUUUUUUUAAUGUUUAUUUCUGAGAGAGAGAGAGACACACACAGAGUGCAAGUGGGGAGGGUCAGAGAGAGGGAGACACAAAAUCCGAAGCAGGUUCCAGGCUCUGAGCUGUCAGCACAGAGCCCGACGUGGGGCUCGAACUCACAAACUGUGAGAUCAUGACCGGAACCGAAGUCAGAUACUUAAUCGACUGAGCCACCCAGGAGCCCCAGAAUUCUUUUUGAUUUUUUUUUUUUUUAAUUCAGAGUCAAAGGACCAAAGGAGUGAAUGGACUUAGAACAGGAGCUCUGGAGCAAGAUGUCCUAUGUUUGAAUCCCAGAUCUUCCUCCCUCAUGUGACCUUGGGAAAGUUUUGUUGUUUCAGUUACCUCCUUUGUAAAAUGAAAUUAAAAAUACUUAACUUCAGGGGCGCCUGGGUGGUUCAAUCGGUUGAGCGUCCAACUCUUGAUUCUGGCUCAGGUCAUGAUCUUGUGGUUGGUGAGUUCCAGACCCACGUUGUGCUCUGUGCUGACAGCUCAGAGCCUGCUUGGGACUCUGUCUCUCACUCUGUCCCUCCCCUGCUUGUGCUCUCUCUCUCUCUCUCAAAAUAAACAAACAAACAAACAUACAUUAAACAAUAUCUUAGGGGCGCCUGGCUGGCUUAGUCGGUUGCACAACUGACUUCGGCUCAGGUCAUGAUCUCGCAGUUUGUGGGUUUGAACCCCAUGUCGGGCUCUGUGCUGACAGCUCAGAGCCUGAAGCCAGCUUCAGAUUCUGUGUCUCCCCCUCUCUCCGCCCUUCCCCCACUUGCACCCUGUGUCUGCCUCUCUCAAAAACAAUAAAACAAUAAAUAAAACAUUAAAAAUAUUUUUUAAGGGGCGCCUGGGUGGCUCAGUCGGUGUAGCGUCCAACUUCAGCUCAGGUCACGAUCUCACGGUCCGUGAGUUCGAGCCCCGCGUCGGGCUCUGGGCUGACGGCUCAGAGUCUGGAGCCUGCUUCCGAUUCUGUGUCUCCCUCUCACUCUGCCCCUCCCCCGUUCAUGCUCUGUCUCUCUCUGUCUCAAAAAUAAA
Long non-coding RNA from Acinonyx jubatus (cheetah), 9049 nucleotides. RefSeq lists it as uncharacterized. The transcript has 2 exons. NCBI's taxonomy places the organism in Eukaryota, Metazoa, Chordata, Mammalia, Carnivora, Felidae. The record is from RefSeq and is a predicted model, not a curated record.